UACGAAGGGUGCAAGCGUUACUCGGAAUUACUGGGCGUAAAGGGUGCGUAGGUGGUUUGUUAAGUCUGCUGUGAAAUCCCCGGGCUCAACCUGGGAAUGGCAUUUGGGACUGCAAGGCUGGAGUGCGGCAGAGGAGACUGGAAUUCCUGGUGUAGCAGUGAAAUGCGUAGAUAUCAGGAGGAACACCGAUGGCGAAGGCAGGCCUCUGGGCUGACACUGACGCUCAUGCACGAAAGCGUGGGGAGCAAACAGG
RNAcentral lists this ribosomal RNA (253 nucleotides) under uncultured bacterium. RNAcentral's name for it is "partial 16S ribosomal RNA". It matches the Rfam family "Bacterial small subunit ribosomal RNA", at positions 524 to 776 of the family's 1533-position model. The record is from RNAcentral.